CACUUGUAGAAGACAGCCACCACACAAAAUGUUCAGUUUGCACUGCUCUACUGAGAGGCCAAUGGUACAGUGACUGUGCCCUACUGAGCCCAGCCAGCCCUGCUCUCCCAUGCUGUGAGGAUCUCCAUGCUCACCUGCUUCUUGGACGAACCCAGCUCCCUGCUAGGCUCGACAACUGGACUCACUGAGUCAUAGGGGAGAAGAAUAAUGCAAACCACAUUCUGUUGGCACAACUGAACUUCUACAACAUCUGUGUCUUGGUGUCAUCUCUGCUACAGUGUGAACGGUCACUCAGAUUUGCCCACUGAAUUGUGUUACGACAUUGAAGGCCGAGACUGGUGAGCGUAUACAAGGAGCUCUAUCUACUCAACAGUCUUGGUGGACAAGCUGAGAAAAACUCAGUCCACUGUUAACAUGAUUACCAUUUUUCUCCUGUAGGAUAUUCUAGAAGAUUAUGAUCCAUU
RNAcentral lists this long non-coding RNA (464 nucleotides) under Mustela putorius furo (domestic ferret). RNAcentral describes it as "lncRNA (ENSMPUG00000026567.1)". Lineage: Eukaryota; Metazoa; Chordata; Mammalia; Carnivora; Mustelidae. The record is from RNAcentral.